Molecule: unclassified non-coding RNA, 349 nt
Filed under: soil metagenome
Description: partial contains 5.8S ribosomal RNA, internal transcribed spacer 2, and large subunit ribosomal RNA
Rfam family: 5.8S ribosomal RNA (bases 1-121)
Source: RNAcentral
GAUGAAGAACGCAGCGAAAUGCGAUAAGUAAUGCGAAUUGCAGAAUUCCAGUGAGUCAUCGAAUCUUUGAACGCACAUUGCGCCCGCUGGUAUUCCGGCGGGCAUGCCUGUUCGAGCGUCAUUUCAACCCUCAAGCCCCCGGGUUUGGUGUUGGGGAUCGGCUCUGCCCUUCUGGGCGGUGCCGCCCCCGAAAUACAUUGGCGGUCUCGCUGCAGCCUCCAUUGCGUAGUAGCUAACACCUCGCAACUGGAACGCGGCGCGGCCAUGCCGUAAAACCCCAACUUCUGAAUGUUGACCUCGGAUCAGGUAGGAAUACCCGCUGAACUUAAGCAUAUCAAUAAGCGGAGGA